RNAcentral lists this transfer-messenger RNA (366 nucleotides) under Paenibacillaceae. RNAcentral's name for it is "Pristimantibacillus oryzae Standard tmRNA". It matches the Rfam family "transfer-messenger RNA". Rfam says of the family: Bacterial tmRNA, also known as 10Sa RNA or SsrA, is named for its dual tRNA and mRNA-like properties. Its role is to liberate the mRNA from a stalled ribosome. To accomplish this part of the tmRNA is used as a reading frame that ends in a translation stop signal. RNAcentral also lists the same sequence under 1 other name. Lineage: Bacteria; Bacillati; Bacillota; Bacilli; Caryophanales. The record is from RNAcentral.
GGGGGCGUUUAUGGAUUCGACGGGGAUUGGACGAGCGCGAGCCAGCGGGUAGCAGGGAGUCGUCUGCUUCAUCAACGCUAAAGCCUAUUAAAUGGCAAACAACAAACAAACUACGCUGUAGCAGCUUAAUAACCUGUUCGCGUGCUCUCGCUCUGUAUCGCCCAUGUACCGGGAUGAGGGCCCAACUUUAGUGGGAUACGCUGUAACAUCUCCGCCUGGGGUGUGCUGAAGAAGAUAAUCAGGCUGACCUGAGAAGAACCGCGUUGCAGGGGGCCUCCUCAGGUGACAUCAAAACUGCAGCUACACCCGUAGAAAGCCGUGUGGCGUGAUCUUCGGACAGGGGUUCAAAUCCCCUCGCCUCCACCA